CCUACGGGAGGCAGCAGUGAGGAAUAUUGGUCAAUGGCCGUAAGGCUGAACCAGCCAAGUCGCGUGAAGGAUGAAGGACCUAUGGUUUGUAAACUUCUUUUAUAGGGGAAUAAAGGUAUCCACGUGUGGAUAUUUGUAUGUACCCUAUGAAUAAGCAUCGGCUAACUCCGUGCCAGCAGCCGCGGUAAUACGGAGGAUGCGAGCGUUAUCCGGAUUUAUUGGGUUUAAAGGGCGCGUAGGUUGUUUUUUAAGUCAGCGGUGAAAGUUUGUGGCUCAACCGUAAAAUUGCCGUUGAUACUGGAAGACUUGAGUGCAGUUGAGGUAGGCGGAAUGCGUGGUGUAGCGGUGAAAUGCAUAGAUAUCACGAAGAACUCCGAUUGCGAAGGCAGCUUACUAGGCCGUAACUGACACUGAUGCGCGAAAGCGUGGGGAUCAAACAGGAUUAGAUACCCGUGUAGUC
This 460-nucleotide ribosomal RNA is filed under the name uncultured bacterium. RNAcentral's name for it is "partial 16S ribosomal RNA". It matches the Rfam family "Bacterial small subunit ribosomal RNA", at positions 338 to 795 of the family's 1533-position model. The record is from RNAcentral.